This is a long non-coding RNA of Lates calcarifer (barramundi perch), 1087 nucleotides long. RefSeq lists it as uncharacterized. The record is from RefSeq and is a predicted model, not a curated record. The transcript is spliced from 8 exons. NCBI's taxonomy places the organism in Eukaryota, Metazoa, Chordata, Actinopteri, Centropomidae.
AAGCACCCCAUUACAACGCAGCUGGUGCAUCACCAGAGGAUUCUCCAUGGCCCCAGGAGUCUUGGUCUCAUUGGGGAUGAUGCAGCGUACAAAGUGAGGACUAUAGACCUCAGUGUGGACUGAGUACUACUUGUCUUCUGAUGAGGCAAUGAUCAGGACUUGGCAAAAUAACAGAAAGGAGGAUACUACCCCUAAAUACACCAGAUCUAGAUUAUCUGCUGUCAGAAAUCUGCCUCUAUUCUGUAUCCCAAAUGGCCUUCCCAUGCUUGGCUUUGAAAACAGCAUGCUUCUACAGAAGAGAUGACCUCCACCACUGAUAUGAAGAGGAUCCUGUUGGGGAAGCCCUUUCUGCAGAUCCUGAUGCCUUCGAGCACCCCAUUACAACGCAGCUGGUGCAUCACCAGAGGAUUCUCCAUGGCCCCAGGAGUCUUGGUCUCAUUGGGGAUGAUGCAGCGUACAAAGUGAGGCUCAGAGCCAUGGCCAAACUCCUCUAAGGCUUACAUGUUAAGCUGCUGACACAGAGAGGAACAGCACAAAGAUAUGUAAAACCAUUGAAGGACACAGACAUAUGAGAUCAAGGUCAGCAUUCAGUGGUAGACAAAUGUCAAACUGAUAUCCACUCUUCACUUGGCUCCUUCCUGCCUUCCUCCUGUGUAUCAGUCCUUCUUUUGUGCUGCUGCAGCUGCAUGAGCCUACUUUGGAGACAAAGGGGACUACAGCACAGGAGAUCCCAAAGCUCUUAGGUGGCCGUCUGUGAGUUUCACUCCUCAUCUAGCCCUUUCUGUGAUGAAGAAUGAUAGAGAGCAGAAAAAGAAACAGAUUAGAGACAGAAGACCAACAAGACUCAACAGGUGUUACAAGUGUUACAAGAGAAACUGGAUUUUACAAGAUGUUACACGAUGUUACAAGUGAAUGUUUUUUUUAAUGUCAGUAUGUCUUCACUGUAGUAAAUUUGGUUGUGUCUAAUUGUUUUUGAAAGAAUUUGAAAAGUGAUGUAUCACUGAAUGCAUUUGGAGGAAAGUUAAGAUCAUAUAUAUUUUAUAUAUCAAAUAUUAAAAAUCAUAUUAAAACUGAAGAGCCAAGCCCA